AUUGAACGCUGGCGGCAGGCCUAACACAUGCAAGUCGAGCGGAUGAGGGGAGCUUGCUCCUGGAUUCAGCGGCGGACGGGUGAGUAAUGCCUAGGAAUCUGCCUGGUAGUGGGGGAUAACGUCCGGAAACGGGCGCUAAUACCGCAUACGUCCUGAGGGAGAAAGUGGGGGAUCUUCGGACCUCACGCUAUCAGAUGAGCCUAGGUCGGAUUAGCUAGUUGGUGGGGUAAAGGCCUACCAAGGCGACGAUCCGUAACUGGUCUGAGAGGAUGAUCAGUCACACUGGAACUGAGACACGGUCCAGACUCCUACGGGAGGCAGCAGUGGGGAAUAUUGGACAAUGGGCGAAAGCCUGAUCCAGCCAUGCCGCGUGUGUGAAGAAGGUCUUCGGAUUGUAAAGCACUUUAAGUUGGGAGGAAGGGCAGUAAGUUAAUACCUUGCUGUUUUGACGGUACCAACAGAAUAAGCACCGGCUAACUUCGUG
RNAcentral lists this ribosomal RNA (484 nucleotides) under uncultured bacterium. Its description in RNAcentral is "partial 16S ribosomal RNA". It matches the Rfam family "Bacterial small subunit ribosomal RNA", at positions 30 to 507 of the family's 1533-position model. The record is from RNAcentral.